CAUGGCUCACGAAGACAAGAAGGAAUACUCCGGGUGGAACUUUAUUGAAGCUAUAUGUUGAAAACGUCCUAAUGAUUGAUUCUGUACUUAGUUUGAAAUGUUUCUUCGACAGACAUCUUCGAACAAAACAAAUAUUUAUUGUGGACCUGGGAUUCCUGGAGUGCUUUCUGAUGUAGAUCAUCACAGGCAAAUGAUCAGUCUCAGACUAUGGAGAAGACUGGUGUGGAACUAUCUGGAUGUGAGUUGGCUGCUGUGAAUGGAAUGGACUACCAGCUAGCUGCUGAGCUUCGUACGUGAACUUUGAGAGAAGCCUCAAAAGUCUGCUGUCUACCUGGAAGGUGUUUCAAAGACGGGGAGAAAGUCUUAAAACCGUGAACAGAGACGAGGAGAGUUCAUUGAGAGCACAUCACUUCCAGAUGGCCUU
Molecule: long non-coding RNA, 424 nt
Organism: Oncorhynchus tshawytscha (Chinook salmon)
Lineage: Eukaryota; Metazoa; Chordata; Actinopteri; Salmoniformes; Salmonidae
Source: Ensembl